Molecule: ribosomal RNA, 354 nt
Filed under: uncultured Glomeromycotina
Lineage: Eukaryota; Fungi; Glomeromycota
Description: SSU rRNA
Rfam family: Eukaryotic small subunit ribosomal RNA
Source: RNAcentral
AGCAGCCGCGGUAAUUCCAGCUCCAAUAGCGUAUAUUAAAGUUGUUGCAGUUAAAAAGCUCGUAGUUGAAUUUCGGGAUCAAAUUGUUGGUCGUGCCUCGGUACGCACUGGUAUUAUUGGUUCCUACCUUCUGAAGAACCGCGAUGUCAUUAAUUUGGUGUCGUGGGGAAUCAGGACUGUUACUUUGAAAAAAUUGAGUGUUUAAAGCAGGCUCGCGCUUGAAUACAUUAGCAUGGAAUAACGAAAUAGGACGUUUGACCCUAUUUUGUGGUUUCUAGGAUCGACGUAAUGAUUAAUAGGGAUAGUUGGGGGCAUUAGUAUUCAAUUGUCAGAGGUGAAAUUCUUGGAUUUAUU